Molecule: microRNA, 22 nt
Filed under: Heligmosomoides polygyrus
Lineage: Eukaryota; Metazoa; Nematoda; Chromadorea; Rhabditida; Heligmosomidae
Description: hpo-miR-10096-3p
Source: miRBase by way of RNAcentral
AUGCUCCCUUGAGUCGUCUCGA